CUGCUGCCUCCCGUAGGAGUUUGGUCCGUGUCUCAGUACCAAUGUGGGGGUUGACCUCCCAGUCCCCCUAUGUAUCGUCGCCUUGGUGAGCCGUUACCUCACCAACUAGCUAAUACAACGCAUGUCCAUCUCUGACCACCUGAGUUUUCAACCACCGAAGAUGCCUCCGGUGAUGUUAUGGGGUAUUAGUACCAAUUUCUCGAUGUUAUCCCCCUGUCAAAGGUAGGUUACAUACGCGUUACGCACCCGUCCGCCGGUCGCCGGCA
This 266-nucleotide ribosomal RNA is filed under the name uncultured bacterium. RNAcentral's name for it is "partial 16S ribosomal RNA". The record is from RNAcentral.